RNAcentral lists this ribosomal RNA (257 nucleotides) under uncultured bacterium. RNAcentral's name for it is "partial 16S ribosomal RNA". It matches the Rfam family "Bacterial small subunit ribosomal RNA", at positions 28 to 285 of the family's 1533-position model. The record is from RNAcentral.
GACGAACGCUGGCGGCGUGCUUAACACAUGCAAGUCGAGCGGUAAGGCCCUUUCGGGGGUACGACGAGCGGCGAACGGGUGAGUAACACGUGGGUGACCUGCCCUCAGCUCUGGGAUAAGCCUGGGAAACCGGGUCUAAUACUGGAUAUGACUCCAUGACGCAUGUUGUGGGGUGGAAAGCCUUGUGCGGCUGAGGAUGGGCCCGCGGCCUAUCAGCUUGUUGGUGGGGUGANGGCCUACCAAGGCGACGACGGGUA